GAUGAACGCUGGCGGCGUGCCUAAUACAUGCAAGUCGAGCGAACAGACGAGGAGCUUGCUCCUCUGAUGUUAGCGGCGGACGGGUGAGUAACACGUGGAUAACCUACCUAUAAGACUGGGAUAACUUCGGGAAACCGGAGCUAAUACCGGAUAACAUGUUGAACCGCAUGGUUCAACAGUGAAAGACGGUCUUGCUGUCACUUAUAGAUGGAUCCGCGCCGCAUUAGCUAGUUGGUAAGGUAACGGCUUACCAAGGCAACGAUGCGUAGCCGACCUGAGAGGGUGAUCGGCCAAACUGGAACUGAGACACGGUCCAGACUCCUACGGGAGGCAGCAGUAGGGAAUCUUCCGCAAUGGGCGAAAGCCUGACGGAGCAACGCCGCGUGAGUGAAGAAGGUCUUCGGAUCGUAAAACUCUGUUAUUAGGGAAGAACAAAUGUGUAAGUAACUAUGCACGUCUUGACGGUACCUAAUCAGAAAGCCACGGCUAACUACGUG
This 497-nucleotide ribosomal RNA is filed under the name uncultured bacterium. RNAcentral's name for it is "partial 16S ribosomal RNA". It matches the Rfam family "Bacterial small subunit ribosomal RNA", at positions 28 to 507 of the family's 1533-position model. The record is from RNAcentral.